Molecule: ribosomal RNA, 253 nt
Filed under: uncultured bacterium
Lineage: Bacteria
Description: partial 16S ribosomal RNA
Rfam family: Bacterial small subunit ribosomal RNA
Source: RNAcentral
UACGUAGGGUGCAAGCGUUGUCCGGAAUUAUUGGGCGUAAAGAGCUCGUAGGCGGUUUGUUGCGUCGGCUGUGAAAUCCCGAGGCUCAACCUCGGGUCUGCAGUCGAUACGAGCAAACUAGAGUGUUGCAGGGGAGACUGGAAUUCCUGGUGUAGCGGUGAAAUGCGCAGAUAUCAGGAGGAACACCUGCGGCGAAGGCGGGUUGCUGGGCUGACACUGACGCUGAUGCGCGAAAGCCAGGGGAGCGAACGGG